GACAGAAAAAAGACACCUCUCCGAGACGAGCCUUACAUGCACUGUUAUUACCCAAGGUUAAUUUUACGGCGGCUCAUUUUAUUUUGGCUUAGAAAUAAACAUAAUUGACAAGUUUCCUUCCCCUGCAUUCUCGAUCCCACAUGUAAAUAGCACGGUCAUUUCAAAAAGACAUUGAUACAUCAUUACAACACUUGCCGUCAGUAUUUGAAUAUAUUGAUUAAGAAGGUUGUCAGCAAGAUGAAAAGGACAAGUAUGCAGUUCAAAAUUCAAAAUGUGGAUAAGUUGAGGUUCUAGGUCUUACCUUUGCAGAUUUUCAUAUUUUGCAUGAAUGAAUUCAAAGGUUAUAUGAUCAUGAUGAUGGACAGCAGAGAAAGAAAAAACAACUUUUCAAUAAUCCUGCUCCUGGAUAAAUGUAAAACAUCUUGUUUUUCGAAGGAUUGAAAUUCACCACCUAGAAUAAAUGGAGAAAACAUAGAAACAAGACCAGAAUAAAUUCAAAGACAAAAGUUGGAUCAGUUAUUAUUUUCAUCACUCAGUCAAUGAUUUGAAGUUCUUUUAAAUUCAAAAAAAUAUUGAAACCACAAUAAUGUCAAAGUUCUGUGCCGAAUGUCCAAAAAGUGGACUAUACCAUCAAACAAUGCUGGAUGAUAAGAAACUAUUAAUGUUUUGUGUUGAGAGAUAUUGUGAAAAAAAAUAGAUUUACUUAAAUA
Mytilus trossulus (common blue mussel) is the source of this 710-nucleotide long non-coding RNA. RefSeq lists it as uncharacterized. The transcript has 3 exons. NCBI's taxonomy places the organism in Eukaryota, Metazoa, Mollusca, Bivalvia, Mytilida, Mytilidae. The record is from RefSeq and is a predicted model, not a curated record.